Molecule: non-coding RNA, 262 nt
Organism: Cajanus cajan (pigeon pea)
Lineage: Eukaryota; Viridiplantae; Streptophyta; Magnoliopsida; Fabales; Fabaceae
Source: RefSeq, a predicted model, not a curated record
UUAAUUCUUCGGUUUUCCCAUUUCUCAGCCUUCGAGGACUUUCUCAACCGCUUUGAACUACCACCUUGACUCACCGGACAACAACCCUAACCUCCCAUGGGAAUUCUCUGAUGCCAACCAAGCAAAGGUCAAGGAGAUUUUAUCGCACUAUCCAUCCAACUAUAAGCAAUCUACAGUGAUCCCUCUUUUGGAUCUUACCCAGCAGCAGCAUGGAGGGUGGCUCCCUAUUUCUGCAAUGAAUGUGGUAUCUUUGCAUUCUGCC